CCUACGGGAGGCAGCAGUGGGGAAUAUUGCGCAAUGGGCGAAAGCCUGACGCAGCGACGCCGCGUGAGGGAUGAAGGCCUUCGGGUUGUAAACCUCUUUCAGCAGGGACGAAGCGAAAGUGACGGUACCUGCAGAAGAAGCACCGGCCAACUACGUGCCAGCAGCCGCGGUAAUACGUAGGGUGCAAGCGUUGUCCGGAAUUAUUGGGCGUAAAGAGCUCGUAGGCGGUUUGUCGCGUCGGCUGUGAAAACUCGGGGCUCAACCCCGAGCCUGCAGUCGAUACGGGCAAACUAGAGUGUGGUAGGGGAGACUGGAAUUCCUGGUGUAGCGGUGAAAUGCGCAGAUAUCAGGAGGAACACCGGCGGCGAAGGCGGGUCUCUGGGCCAUAACUGACGCUGAGGAGCGAAAGCGUGGGGAGCGAACAGGAUUAGAUACCCUGGUAGUCCACGCCGUAAACGUUGGGCGCUAGGUGUCGGGGACCUUCCACGUCUUCGGUGCCGCAGCUAACGCAUUAAGCGCCCCGCCUGGGGAGUACGGCCGCAAGGCUAAACUCAAAUGAAUUGACGG
RNAcentral lists this ribosomal RNA (567 nucleotides) under uncultured bacterium. RNAcentral's name for it is "bacterial SSU rRNA". It matches the Rfam family "Bacterial small subunit ribosomal RNA", at positions 338 to 916 of the family's 1533-position model. The record is from RNAcentral.